RNAcentral lists this ribosomal RNA (259 nucleotides) under uncultured bacterium. Its description in RNAcentral is "partial 16S ribosomal RNA". It matches the Rfam family "Bacterial small subunit ribosomal RNA", at positions 793 to 1055 of the family's 1533-position model. The record is from RNAcentral.
GUCCACGCCCUAACUAUGUCAACUAGUUGUCGGGAAGCAAUUCCUUGGUAACGAAGCUAACGCGUGAAGUUGACCGCCUGGGAGUACGGUCGCAAGAUUAAACUCAAAGGAAUUGACGGGGCCCGCACAAGCGGUGGAUGAUGUGGAUUAAUUCGAUGCAACGCGAAAACCUUACCUACCCUUGACAUGCCCCGGGAGCCCGAUGAGAGUUGGGUGUGCUCGAAAGAGAGCCGGGACACAGGUGCUGCAUGGCUGUCGU